CUAUAAAUUUUGACAGAUUGAUGACACUUGUAAAAACUGUGGAGUCUUGUUUUCUUCUUCAAGUCAUCAGCUCCUUCUAUAGAUAAUGAUUUUUGAGAAACUAUCAAAUCAAGACGUUGGAAUGUUACCUUAUAUGGUUAAUGUCGUUUGAAAAGACAUUUCAAAUCCAUUGCUGCAAAUAGAAUUAUCCAUUUUAUUCCCUUUAUUC
Molecule: long non-coding RNA, 208 nt
Filed under: Medicago truncatula (barrel medic)
Lineage: Eukaryota; Viridiplantae; Streptophyta; Magnoliopsida; Fabales; Fabaceae
Description: long non-coding RNA (MTRU_LNC007436)
Source: RNAcentral